UACAGUGAGAAAAGGGAAGGAAACUUUAUAAUUGCAGAACCGGAAGCUGCCGCUGGGCUCCUAUUGCACAGCUGUUACAGAUGAUCACACUCAGCCAGACUUCAUUCUACUGAAUCCUGUAUAUCUGAUGAACGUAAAUUAUCAUACAGAUCAAUUAGCCAAUCAAAAUCAAAGGGGAAGGAAUUUGAGGAGACAACAAAAUCAAUCUGUGUUCAGGAGUCAUCGGUGUAACAAAAUGGGGUAUCUAUGUGUAAUGUUAUUGGACUACAACUCCCACAAUGCCAUGAACUACCAUAAGCAGAAACCUACAGAAACUGCAGAUUCUUUAUCUCCUUAUAUAGAAACCUACAAUGUCCUGCUUGUGGGCUGCGCUCCUCCCACCAUCUAUGGGUCCUGCAGCAGGUCCGGUUGCCUCCAGGGAAACUGCUACCCAGCGGGUUGGGGGUAGGAUUUCCGGAUACGGGUAUAGAGGGUCGGGUCCUAUUUUAUAUUAUAUUAUCUACACAUAGAUAGUUCACUCUUAAUAUGAUGUAGAGAGUAAUAUUCUAGGAUA
Long non-coding RNA from Xenopus tropicalis (tropical clawed frog), 553 nucleotides. RefSeq lists it as uncharacterized. The record is from RefSeq and is a predicted model, not a curated record. The transcript is spliced from 3 exons. NCBI's taxonomy places the organism in Eukaryota, Metazoa, Chordata, Amphibia, Anura, Pipidae.